AUUCUAGAUACUGCAGUCAUGGUUACCUGUUGGGGUAGAGAUACUACAUUAAACACAACUAACAAGUCAAUGAAAAAGGAAACACGGACACUAAACGCCGCAUUGCCAGAUGCUGUUAUAAUUGGUGGAGCUGCCGGUGGUGCAUGUCUGUUAUUAGUUCUAGCUAUAGUAGUUGUUGUAUGCUUAGUCAAAAGAAGAAAGAACAAAAACUACGACAAACCAUUUCCUAAAGAAACAGGAGAAACCUGUUAUGAAAACAUUCACCAUGACGAACCUACCAGUAUGGAUAAUGAUUUACAUGUUAGCACCGAUAAUACCAACAGUAGCGACAGAGAUUCAAAGGGAAACAAACCAUCAACUGAUAUGAUCUAUCUGGAGAAUGAUAUGUAUGUUAGUUGUGACUCCGUUACCACCGCAGCUAAGUUUUCCCCGAGCAGACAAGGUGAUGUUAGUGUUCAUACCGUUCCAAACCAUUCCAGUCCAACCAAACGUUCUCCUAGCAGCCCAGACUAUACCGAUAUUGAUGACUUUCCUGGACAAAAACAGGAUAAACUACAAGAACAAUCCACAAGUAACACGACGAAAGAUUUUGUCGUGGACAAGAAUCAGAAUGUUAAUAAUGUUUACGCUGUGGUCAACAAAAAAACAAAGAGUAAACCGACAGAUGCUUCACCUGGUAAAUCCAAAACCCAAAUUGAUGAAAUUCCAUCUCAAACCUUUUCCGUGGUUCAAAGUCCUAAUCCUAAUAACGUUUACGCCGUAGUGAACAAUAGGCCGAAAGUGGCGAAUAAAACACCUUAUCCGACAAAACCAGUAAAGCCCGUUAAACCGCUUGUAGCAUCGAAACCUAAAAUCUGAAUGCAAGAAAGUUACAACAUAAGACUGUUGAUAAUAGCAGUUGAUUUUCUAGCUGAAAUAUACUCCAGUCACUAUAAGUGUUUUCCCAAAAAAAUCGGAUUGUCUAGCAGGCUAUGCCUAUCUUCUGUGGAACGCCUUGUGUCACUCUUCAAACGGUAUUGACCUUCUAAGAUCAUGGGUUGAUUAUGUCCGAACUUCUUCAUACCACGUUGACAUUCUAUCACAGUGGCGACUUUAAAAUUGUUUAGGACUCAGUGUGUUUUUAUGACUAAGGAGUGUCAUACAAUGUUCUGUUGUAUAUGUGUAUAUUUAUCUAUGGAACAAAGAUCAGAAUGUUGAACAACACAAACUAAUCUAUUAUGAAAAACAUUUUCUUCCCAGAGGACUAUUAACGUCUUAUAUAUAUGUAAGACAAAAAAGUUUUGAUAGCACAAUGGCUAAAUAAUUAUUACUAAAUGUAUGAUUUUUGUUUGUACUUUUAUUCAAGUUUGUGUUAUUUUUAUACAGAUCUAUCGUACUUUGUCCUAGAUAAUUUUUCCUAGCUGGUCUGUCGUUUCGUAUAUUUCUAUAGGGAUCUAACAGUGAUUUCAGGACUAAUACAAUUGUUCGGUAAUCAGUGGGCAUUAACUAUUGGGGGCACCAAUAAGCAUCACCGACAAUCGGUGUAGCUAAUCACUAAGCAAUACAAUAAUAGAGUACUUGUUUGUAACUCUGUGUUCUUUAUCGAGGACCUGGGGAGGAACAGCGAAAACGGCAGUUCUGUUUACAUGAUUACGUACACGUAAAUGAACACUUUGCAGUUGGAAUCUAGUGACCGCGCACUAUUCUCCUACAUGGUAUAUGUCAGUCUGUAUUAGUCCUCUUGGUACAUAAAUAUAGGACGUUAAAACCCAUUUCAAUUCAGAUCAGUUUCCAUAUGAAGAAUGAUGAUGAAAUGCUUCUUAUAUAAAGGUUGUGCCAAUCACCAAUUGGUACAUUCAUGGACCGUAUAUACAUGGACCGUUUCGUAUUGCUUUAAAUUAUAACAAUAUUAAUCUACAUUAUGAUUCGGGUUAGAUAUAGAUGUAAAAGUGAGAUAUAUUGUGUUAUUAUCAGCGCUGAACAUUUGCCAAAACACUAACUAUGAGUUAUGCUUUUGACUAAACCACCUAACAGUGUUAUUGUAAUAAAAGGACCCGUAUAAUAAAACAUAUUUUAUUCUUGUUUUGUUUCAACCCAUUGCAUUGUAAUAGAACAGUCGUGUUGUUUAAAUGACCUGUAUUAUAAUAAGCUAACAUUUAGGUUCUCUAUAUAUUUGAUUUAAUUUGAUUUUAUAAUAAUACGUCUUUUAUUUUCGUUUUGUCAACUCAUUGGGUUGUAAUACACAAAAUGUCUUAUUAUUUAAAUGACCUGUAUUAUAAUAAACCUUACAUUUA
Molecule: long non-coding RNA, 2273 nt
Organism: Patella vulgata (common limpet)
Lineage: Eukaryota; Metazoa; Mollusca; Gastropoda; Patellidae
Exons: 3
Source: RefSeq, a predicted model, not a curated record